RNAcentral lists this ribosomal RNA (475 nucleotides) under Salmonella enterica subsp. enterica serovar Enteritidis. RNAcentral describes it as "bacterial SSU rRNA". It matches the Rfam family "Bacterial small subunit ribosomal RNA", at positions 926 to 1398 of the family's 1533-position model. The record is from RNAcentral. Lineage: Bacteria; Pseudomonadati; Pseudomonadota; Gammaproteobacteria; Enterobacterales; Enterobacteriaceae.
CAACCCCGGUUGGAACUGUGGUUUAAUUCGAUGCAACGCGAAGAACCUUACCUACUCUUGACAUCCAGGGAACUUGCCAGAGAUGGAUUGGUGCCUUCGGGAACUCUGAGACAGGUGCUGCAUGGCUGUCGUCAGCUCGUGUUGUGAAAUGUUGGGUUAAGUCCCGCAACGAGCGCAACCCUUAUCCUUUGUUGCCAGCGGUCCGGCCGGGAACUCAAAGGAGACUGCCAGUGAUAAACUGGAGGAAGGUGGGGAUGACGUCAAGUCAUCAUGGCCCUUACGAGUAGGGCUACACACGUGCUACAAUGGCGCAUACAAAGAGAAGCGACCUCGCGAGAGCAAGCGGACCUCAUAAAGUGCGUCGUAGUCCGGAUUGGAGUCUGCAACUCGACUCCAUGAAGUCGGAAUCGCUAGUAAUCGUGGAUCAGAAUGCCACGGUGAAUACGUUCCCGGGCCUUGUACACACCCGGCCGUU